GUGGGGAAUCUUGCGCAAUGGGCGAAAGCCUGACGCAGCAACGCCGCGUGCGGGAUGACGGCCUUCAAGGUUGUAAACCGCUUUCAGCAGGGACGAAAAUGACGGUACCUGCAGAAGAAGCCCCGGCUAACUACGUGCCAGCAGCCGCGGUAAUACGUAGGGGGCAAGCGUUGUCCGGAUUCAUUGGGCGUAAAGAGCUCGUAGGCGGUUCAGUAAGUCGGGUGUGAAAGCUCCGAGCUCAACUCGGAGAGGCCACCCGAUACUGCUGUGACUUGAGUACAGUAGGGGAGCGUGGAAUUCCUGGUGUAGCGGUGAAAUGCGCAGAUAUCAGGAGGAACACCAGCGGCGAAGGCGGCGCUCUGUGCUGUAACUGACGCUGAGGAGCGAAAGUGUGGGUAGCAAACAGGAUUAGAUACCCGGGUAGUCC
Molecule: ribosomal RNA, 427 nt
Filed under: uncultured bacterium
Lineage: Bacteria
Description: partial 16S ribosomal RNA
Rfam family: Bacterial small subunit ribosomal RNA
Source: RNAcentral